Molecule: non-coding RNA, 550 nt
Organism: Pelodiscus sinensis (Chinese soft-shelled turtle)
Lineage: Eukaryota; Metazoa; Chordata; Testudines; Trionychidae
Source: RefSeq, a predicted model, not a curated record
CGCCCUUGCAGGCCUGGCUCACUGGCCAAGAGAAGUGUCCUCCAGCUCUCCACAGCCUGGUACUGAAGCAGCAUAGAGAGGCAAAAGAGAAUCGAGCCCUUUCUGCCCAUUUCAGGAGGGUGACUGUCUGACCUAUUCCCCAGCCUGAACUUUUGGAGAAGUGGCAGUCAGCAAGCUCCUCUCCAGCCAUCACGUGCAGCAUAUCCACCUUCUUCAGAGACUGAUACAUCAGCAGUAGCUGGACCACGGAAUGCUCCUUGUUUUCUACUGCUGCCAGUUGUGGAAGCCAAGAAGAAAUGAACGAACUCUGAGAAUGCAAGUCCUGGGAGGAUGCUUCUAGAAGGGUAAAGCCGUCCAAAGGGGAUAGAUGAGAAGACUACAAGCCACAGCAUUUAUAGGCAUAUCCCUGAAUGGAGAGAGAGACUUUUGGAAGGUAACCAGCUCUAGUGAUAGCAAUCACUAGGAACACACAAUACUGCCGACCUGAUCCCUUGCUCAAACUUAACUCCCAAUGAAGUUUUGCAUGAGAGUAGAGCAUAGUUUGGAGCCC